UACAGAGGGGGCAAGCGUUGUUCGGAAUUACUGGGCGUAAAGGGCGCGUAGGCGGCCUGCUAAGUCGGACGUGAAAUCCCCCGGCUCAACCGGGGAACUGCGUCCGAUACUGGUGGGCUCGAAUCCGGGAGAGGGAUGUGGAAUUCCAGGUGUAGCGGUGAAAUGCGUAGAUAUCUGGAGGAACACCGGUGGCGAAGGCGGCAUCCUGGACCGGUAUUGACGCUGAGGCGCGAAAGCCAGGGGAGCAAACGGG
RNAcentral lists this ribosomal RNA (253 nucleotides) under uncultured bacterium. Its description in RNAcentral is "partial 16S ribosomal RNA". It matches the Rfam family "Bacterial small subunit ribosomal RNA", at positions 524 to 776 of the family's 1533-position model. The record is from RNAcentral.